Molecule: transfer RNA, 74 nt
Filed under: Paramoeba pemaquidensis
Lineage: Eukaryota; Discosea; Flabellinia; Dactylopodida; Paramoebidae
Description: tRNA-Leu
Rfam family: tRNA
About the family: Transfer RNA (tRNA) molecules are approximately 80 nucleotides in length. Their secondary structure includes four short double-helical elements and three loops (D, anti-codon, and T loops). Further hydrogen bonds mediate the characteristic L-shaped molecular structure. tRNAs have two regions of fundamental functional importance: the anti-codon, which is responsible for specific mRNA codon recognition, and the 3' end, to which the tRNAs corresponding amino acid is attached (by aminoacyl-tRNA synthetases). tRNAs cope with the degeneracy of the genetic code in two manners: having more than one tRNA (with a specific anti-codon) for a particular amino acid; and 'wobble' base-pairing, i.e. permitting non-standard base-pairing at the 3rd anti-codon position.
Source: RNAcentral
AUAGGAGUGAUGGAAUUGGUAGACAUAUUAGUUUUAGGCACUAAGUUUUAGGGGUUCAAGUCCCCUCUCCGGUA